AUGAUGGACUACUAUUGUUUUCACAUGAUGGACUACUGUUGUUAGGGCAUGAUGGACUACUGUUGUUAGGGCAUGAUGGACUACUGUUGUUAGGGCGUGUUGGACUACUGUUGUUAGGGUGUGAUGGACUACUGUUGUUAGGGCAUGAUGGACUACUGUUGUUAGGGUGUGAUGGACUACUGUUGUUAUGUCAUGAUGGACUGCUGUUGUUAGGACAUGAUGGACAACUGUUGUUAGAACAUGUUGUACAACUGUUGUUUGGUCAUGAUGGACUACUGUUGUUAGGGCAUGAUGAACUACUGUUGUUAGGGCAUGAUGGACUACUGUUGUUAGGGCAUGAUGGACUACUGUUGUUUUCACAUGAUGGACUACUGUUGUUAGGCCAUGAUGAACUACUUUUGAAAAGGCAUGAUGAACUACUGUUGUUAGGGCAUGAUGGACUAC
Molecule: long non-coding RNA, 444 nt
Filed under: Salmo salar (Atlantic salmon)
Lineage: Eukaryota; Metazoa; Chordata; Actinopteri; Salmoniformes; Salmonidae
Description: lncRNA (ENSSSAG00000082653.1)
Source: RNAcentral